AAUUUUCUUCUUCUUUUUCCAUUGAUUAAAAAAAAAAAAGAAAAGUGGAAAUUUAAAAAGAAACAAAAGAAAGCUCAUUCUCAUUCUAACUGUAAAAAAAAGCUUGAGAGAAGAAAAACACAAGACUGCAAGAGUCUGAGUCUGAUUACCGAAUCUUCAGUUGUUCACUAAACAACAGCAAAAUAAACUUAAAAAAUUGCCCCCCC
RNAcentral lists this long non-coding RNA (206 nucleotides) under Gossypium raimondii (Peruvian cotton). Its description in RNAcentral is "long non-coding RNA (GRAI_LNC010044)". Lineage: Eukaryota; Viridiplantae; Streptophyta; Magnoliopsida; Malvales; Malvaceae. The record is from RNAcentral.